Molecule: long non-coding RNA, 161 nt
Organism: Melanotaenia boesemani (Boeseman's rainbowfish)
Lineage: Eukaryota; Metazoa; Chordata; Actinopteri; Atheriniformes; Melanotaeniidae
Exons: 3
Source: RefSeq, a predicted model, not a curated record
UACAUUAAGUACAAUAGGUUACUGCUUACCUUUGUUGCGGUGGGAUCCCAGACUCAGACAACCCGGAUCCUGCUCUGGAUACUCUCCGUUGCCGUUCUUAGUGGAUCACGUCGUGGGUCACCAAUUGAAGUUUUAAAAUAUUAUUUGGUAUUAUUUUUGUU